Molecule: ribosomal RNA, 1350 nt
Filed under: Paecilomyces niveus
Lineage: Eukaryota; Fungi; Ascomycota; Eurotiomycetes; Eurotiales; Thermoascaceae
Description: LSU rRNA
Rfam family: Eukaryotic large subunit ribosomal RNA
Source: RNAcentral
AUAUCAAUAAGCGGAGGAAAAGAAACCAACAGGGAUUGCCCUAGUAACGGCGAGUGAAGCGGCAAGAGCUCAAAUUUGAAAUCUGGCCCCUCCGGGGUCCGAGUUGUAAUUUGCAGAGGAUGCUUCGGGUGCGGUCCCCAUCUAAGUGCCCUGGAACGGGCCGUCAUAGAGGGUGAGAAUCCCGUCUGGGAUGGGUGGCCGUGCCCGUGUGAAGCUCCUUCGACGAGUCGGGUUGUUUGGGAAUGCAGCUCUAAAUGGGUGGUAAAUUUCAUCUAAAGCUAAAUAUUGGCCGGAGACCGAUAGCGCACAAGUAGAGUGAUCGAAAGAUGAAAAGCACUUUGAAAAGAGAGUUAAACAGCACGUGAAAUUGUUGAAAGGGAAGCGCUUGCGACCAGACUCGCCCGCGGGGGUUCAGCCGGUACUCGUACCGGUGUAUUCCCCCGUGGGCGGGCCAGCGUCGGUUUGGGCGGCCGGUCAAAGGCCCCCGGAAUGUGUCGCCUCUCGGGGCGUCUUAUAGCCGGGGGUGCAAUGCGGCCAGCCUGGACCGAGGAACGCGCUUCGGCACGGACGCUGGCGUAAUGGUCGUAAGCGGCCCGUCUUGAAACACGGACCAAGGAGUCUAACAUCUACGCGAGUGUUCGGGUGUCAAACCCGUCCGCGCAGUGAAAGCGAACGGAGGUGGGAACCUUUCGGGGUGCACCAUCGACCGAUCCUGAUGUCUUCGGAUGGAUUUGAGUAAGAGCGUAGCUGUUGGGACCCGAAAGAUGGUGAACUAUGCCUGAAUAGGGCGAAGCCAGAGGAAACUCUGGUGGAGGCUCGCAGCGGUUCUGACGUGCAAAUCGAUCGUCAAAUUUGGGUAUAGGGGCGAAAGACUAAUCGAACCAUCUGGUAGCUGGUUCCUGCCGAAGUUUCCCUCAGGAUAGCAGUAACGUUUUCAGUUUUAUGAGGUAAAGCGAAUGAUUAGAGGCCUUGGGGUUGAAACAACCUUAACCUAUUCUCAAACUUUAAAUAUGUAAGAAGCCCUUGUUGCUUAGUUGAACGUGGGCAUUGGAAUGGAUCGUUACUAGUGGGCCAUUUUUGGUAAGCAGAACUGGCGAUGCGGGAUGAACCGAACGCGAGGUUAAGGUGCCGGAAUGCACGCUCAUCAGACACCACAAAAGGUGUUAGUUCAUCUAGACAGCCCGACGGUGGCCAUGGAAGUCGGAAUCCGCUAAGGAGUGUGUAACAACUCACGGGCCGAAUGAACUAGCCCUGAAAAUGGAUGGCGCUCAAGCGUGCUACCCAUACCUCGCCGUCGGGGUAGAAACGAUGCCCCGACGAGUAGGCAGGCGUGGAGGUCCGUGACGAAGC